Long non-coding RNA from Neofelis nebulosa (Clouded leopard), 1800 nucleotides. RefSeq lists it as uncharacterized. The transcript is spliced from 3 exons. NCBI's taxonomy places the organism in Eukaryota, Metazoa, Chordata, Mammalia, Carnivora, Felidae. The record is from RefSeq and is a predicted model, not a curated record.
CGCGCGCGACCGGCAGGGGGCGCCGGGCUCCCGGCGGGGUUAGGGCAGAGCGGGGCGGGGCGUCGUGGCGUGCACCUGCGCUUCCAGCGGCUGCCGCAGUCGCUCCCCGAACCUCGACCUUCCCCGGCCGUUCAGCCAUUGCCCCCAGCACUGUUCUUCUUUGGGCGCGGGCCCCGGUGUCUCUGAGGGAGGGCGAGUGGCCGCCUCGGGCCUGGCUCGGACUGCCGGCCGGGCGGGGAGGCCCUGGGAGCUCUGGACAGAGGGCGAGGAACCUUCUAGAAAACGGCCGCAGGGAGGGUUGGAAGGCCCAGCAUCCUGCGGGUGAACUUGACUUGGAUCAUUUCUUGCUGUGCCUCUGGAAAUGAUGAGCAAAACGUGAACUAUGUGCGGAGGUUGACAGAUGGCCCCCGAAAAGUGCAAUGUUGUAACGAAGCGCUGUGAGGAACAGUCUCCGCUGUCCCGCUGUGCGAGCUGCUCUAUUACAAUAUAUCCCCCGAGCUUCCUUCCUGGUCUGCAAAUUCAUUUUGUAGGCUCCAAGCCCAGCCUGGAGACUAAUGCAGGGCUUUGAACUCACGACCCUGAGAUCAAGGCUGGAGCUGAAAUCAAGAGUCAGAUGCUUAACCGACUGAGCCCCCCAGGUACCUCCCAAUGCUCUAUUUUGAAUUCAUUUUGUAUAAUGGAUUGAAGUACCGACCAAAGUGGAGGUUUACUCCCGCCCCCCAUACGUGGAUUCCAGCUGUUCUACCACCAUCUGUGAAAAAGACACUUCCUUUUCCACUGAUCUGCCCUUUUGUGGAAAAUUGACCACAUGUGUGAAGAUCUAUUUUUGGACUCUUCUGUUCCAUUGAUCUGUGUAUCUUUAAUCUUUCAGUCCAGGAUUUUGUGUGUUUUUUCUGUAAAGCGCCUGGUAGCACAUUUUUUAGGUUCUGCAUGCCAAGAGGCAACAUUCAGGACAUCAUACAGAUACUUGUUAUAUAAGACACAAGUUUCCACAAAAAUUUUAUUAGUGACAUUUGUAUAAUUGAAAAUGUAUAUUUUUUGCAAUAUGUAUCUACUAAUGAGAAAAAUGAAGUUCUUUUUUUUUUAUGGGAUAACAUAUUGCUUUGCUGGGGUUCAAAGGCAGCAUCCCCUACCAUCAAAAUUUAUUGUAAACCUUCGUCUGUUAAAACUGACUUGUAAUAAGAUUUUGUGUGUUUCACCAUGAAUAUGAUUUCAAUGGAGUGUAUUCAUGGCUUGAAUGGCAUUUAUAGAAUUCGGUUAGAUUCCUCUCUUGAUAUUUGCCUUUUAGUAUGUCAUUACAUUAUAGAUUAAUCGCCACCAAUUGAAGGUGAGGUAGAAACUCCUCAAACGCAGUUAAAUGGAUUUUGAAAUAUGAGGAUUUCCUUUGUACUUACACAUCGAGUAAAAAUGUGGAAAAAAUGCUGCUGGAACUGUAGUCUGAGCUUGGAAGAUAUAUCUGCUGUGAAUUUGUGUGGGAAUGGAGAUUUCAUUUCUUGUUUUAUCUUUUGAUAGCAUGCGAAGUGCUUACAAUGGUUUGCGAUUACUUGUGAUUCAAACAAUGUUGGCUGUGAUCUAAAUGACUGUACUGCAGUGUAAGCUUCACACAUGAGCGCUGUAAAAGCUAACUUCAAAGCUAUUCAUUGUUCAGUAACAGUGGUUGAGGGCAGAUCUUCCAACCAUUAAAAGGAGUCAAAACCAAUUUUAACUUUGUAGGCUGGGCUGUAGUGGGUUGAAUUUGGCCCAUGGGCCAUAGUUGGCUUGUCUGUGGUUCAGCUAAUAUUAUAUUGUCAUGAUUAGUGU